GACGAACGCUGGCGGCGUGCUUAACACAUGCAAGUCGAACGGAAAGGCCCUGCUUUUGUGGGGUGCUCGAUUGGCGAACGGGUGAGUAACACGUGAGUAACCUGCCCUUGACUUUGGGAUAACUUCAGGAAACUGGGGCUAAUACCGGAUAGGAGCUCCUGCUGCAUGGUGGGGUUUGGAAAGUUUCGGCGGUUGGGGAUGGACUCGCGGCUUAUCAGCUUGUUGGUGGGGUAGUGGCUUACCAAGGCUUUGACGGGUAGCCGGCCUGAGAGGGUGACCGGCCACAUUGGGACUGAGAUACGGACCAGACUCCUACGGGAGGCAGCAGUGGGGAAUAUUGCACAAUGGGCGGGAGCCUGAUGCAGCAACGCCGCGUGCGGGAUGACGGCCUUCGGGUUGUAAACCGCUUUCGCCUGUGACGAAGCGUGAGUGACGGUAAUGGGUAAAGAAGCACCGGCUAACUACGUG
This 468-nucleotide ribosomal RNA is filed under the name uncultured bacterium. Its description in RNAcentral is "partial 16S ribosomal RNA". It matches the Rfam family "Bacterial small subunit ribosomal RNA", at positions 28 to 507 of the family's 1533-position model. The record is from RNAcentral.